This 717-nucleotide ribosomal RNA is filed under the name Pugetia sp. GCZ-2011. RNAcentral's name for it is "eukaryotic LSU rRNA". It matches the Rfam family "Eukaryotic large subunit ribosomal RNA", at positions 1311 to 2067 of the family's 3401-position model. The record is from RNAcentral. Lineage: Eukaryota; Rhodophyta; Florideophyceae; Gigartinales; Kallymeniaceae.
CGUGAAAAUGGAUGUCGCGAAGCGGGUGCCGACAGCACGCCGUCUGGUAAAGAAUUAUGAUCAGAUGAGUAGGAGGGCGUGGCGGUUGUAUCGAAGGGUAUGUGCAGACAUGCCUGGAACGGCCGCUAGUGCAGAUCUUGGUGGUAGUAGCAAGUAUUCAAGCGAGAUCCUUGAAGGGCGAAGCGGGGAAGGGUUCCACGCGAACAUUGAUUGGGCGUGGGUGAGUCGUUCCUAAGCCGAGUGGCGAUUGCUAAGUAGCGGCGAAAGGGAAGCUGGUUGACAUUCCAGCACACGGAUGUGGAGGCGGUGACGCAUAUUGGGACGAACACGCUGGCGGUGGCGCUGGGCAGAGUUGUCUUUUCUGUUUGACUCUUGCGCGCGCGGUGUGGAAUCCGCUUGUCGGGAGAAACACGCGUGUCGAGGCAGAGCGCCGGGGCUUUUCCGGCGUCCAGCUCGCCACCGACGGCCCUUGAAACUUUGUCUGCUUAAAUCCACGCCGUGGCGUACCGAUCACCGCAUCAGGUCCCCAAGGUGAACAGCCUCUGCUCUAUAUGAACAAUGCAGGUAAGGGAAGUCGGCAAAUUAGACCCGUAACUUUGGGAUAAGGGUUGGCUCUAGUGCUGCGUGGGAGUGGUUGCCUGCGGUUGGAGGAGUUGGCGAGGCUGGCUUGGCGCGGUGCCGGCUGCUGAGCUGGUUUUUCGGCGGUGGGCGACGCCC